RNAcentral lists this ribosomal RNA (468 nucleotides) under uncultured bacterium. Its description in RNAcentral is "partial 16S ribosomal RNA". It matches the Rfam family "Bacterial small subunit ribosomal RNA", at positions 28 to 507 of the family's 1533-position model. The record is from RNAcentral.
GAUGAACGCUGGCGGCGUGCUUAACACAUGCAAGUCGAACGGAAACGCCCUGCUUUUUUGGUGUGCUCGAGUGGCGAACGGGUGAGUAACACGUGAGUAACCUGCCCUUGUCUUUGGGAGAACUUCAGGAAACUGGGGUUAAUACCAGAUAGGAUCCCCCCUUGCAUGGUGGGGGGUGGAAAGUUUGUGCGGUGGGGGAUGGACUCGCGGGUUAUCAGCUUGUUGGUGGGGUAGUGGCUGACCAAGGGUUUGCAGGGUAGCCGGCCUGGGAGGGUGAACGGGCACAUUGGGACUGAGAUACGGACCAGACUCCUACGUGAGGCAGCGGUGGGGAAUAUUACACAAUCGGCGGAAGCCUGAUGCGGCGACGCCGCGUGCGGGAUGACGGCCUUCUGGUUGUAAACCGCUUUCGCCUGUGACGAAGCGUGAGUGACGGUAAUGGAAAAAGAAGCACCGGCUAACUACGUG